CUCCUGGUACAGGCAGAAACGGCCAGGUGGGGGGAUGCUAGCCCGGUCGGCGGGAUCAGGAAGCUCUAGAUCGUACUCCGAAGGAACUCCAUACUGAACCCUUAUCAAUAAGAGUUCAUCUGGAGUCAGAGAAUAGAGAAUGGCACCCGGCACAAAGAUCGGGUGAGGCCCAGCUCCAGAUGUGGGUUCAUCUACAGUGUGGGGGUUCUGGGGGGCUGAGGUGGAUGAACUCCUGGAACCACUAGAGGC
This 249-nucleotide long non-coding RNA is filed under the name Elaeis guineensis (African oil palm). RNAcentral describes it as "long non-coding RNA (EGUI_LNC079212)". Lineage: Eukaryota; Viridiplantae; Streptophyta; Magnoliopsida; Arecales; Arecaceae. The record is from RNAcentral.